CGCAUCGAGUAGUCAUUGUUCAUCCAAAUUGACAUUUGAUUUAUUGUACACAUUAAAAAGUUGAUGGAGGAUUGCGAGGGUCAGAAAGAUUUGUUUUUCUGAACAAUUUAGGUCAAGGACACUGGCGUGAAUGAAAAUAUAAAUAGAUUUGAAACCAUCCGGGUGAAAAGGAAGUAACUGUUACGGAUGGAAAACACACACUGGCUGUUUUUUCCUAAGGAUUGGGAUCCUCGAAGUGGCUCAAAUCUUACUGCU
Molecule: long non-coding RNA, 255 nt
Organism: Uranotaenia lowii
Lineage: Eukaryota; Metazoa; Arthropoda; Insecta; Diptera; Culicidae
Exons: 3
Source: RefSeq, a predicted model, not a curated record